UUAAAAUUCUUGCAUUAUGGGAUAUAUUGUUCAGAAAGUGUACUGAACUUUGCACACCUUGUGAGCAGUUGCAUAGCUGGGGGAAAAACAAAACUAUGCACAGCGAUUUUAUUACUUGCACAAAUAGUUUCCUUUUUUUGGGGGGGGGGGUGUGUUUGUGCACAUGAAACUACUCCCCAGACUGCCAUGUGUGCGUUUCUUCUAAAAAAACAAACAAAAAAAAUACAGUUUUUUUUUCUUUUUGGGUGGGGGGAGAGGGAUAAAAUGCAUUUGCCCUCCAACUUCAGGAUGUUGCAUUUUUUGCACCAUGGGUACCAAUAGUAGUACCACUUUAUGGAUAAGAAAUAUAUGUAAAGAUGGGUCGCUUUAGUGAAUAGGCCUAUUAUGGUCUAUUAAUACUUGUAUAUAAAUAAUUUAGCCUAUAGCUUUCUUUUUGAGAGAGUUCUUGUAUGAGUUUUAAUGUAUUUUGGAGAAAAGCAGAGCAUUCUAUAUUUUUUGGAAAAUUUCUAUUUUUAUUUCUUUCAGAUUUAAACUUUUUGAAUGAAAAUCCUCUUUUAAACCCUGUUUUGGUGGAAGGAUUUGAGCAGCCAGAUAUUUUUAGGUGUUAUUCAAUGAAUGCCCUCAAGGUGGCUCUUUGGCCUUUUGUUAAUACAGAGUUCUGUUUGUCUUAUCAAACAACCUAUUUUGAGAUUAUGCACGUUUACUGAAAUCAUUUUACUAUAAAUUAUUCCUGUUUCUUAAUGAGAUUUUUGAAGGGAGCGGACUGUUCUUUGUAAUAAAACAUAUUAUACAGAUUUGUAUAAUAGGCUAAAACGAAACCUUUUUAAAUGUUAACAGUACACACUGUACUGUGUAUAUUGGUACAGAUUGCUUUGUGACGCUGUUAGGCUGUUUUUUUGUUGUUUUUUUUUAAAUAUUUGUUUCUGGUAUGAGUUGGAGGAAUGGCCUGGAGAUUUGAUAUUUAAAUAUGAAACUUUUAAGGGGGAUAUUUUAUAUGAAUACAAAAAAGAAAAGAAAAAAACUACCAUAAAGUGUCUCAACAUUUUGGUAAUUAUAGUCACAAUGAAAUGGGCAUAAAAAAUAACUUAAUGGAUAUAUUAAAAUGUAAAAUAGAAAAGAUAAAAGCAAAACAAAAAGCACAAGGCUACAAAAUAAUAUGUCCUAUAAACUAGUUGGGGUAUAAAACCUCCAAUAGAACCAAUAGCAAGAGAAGUGUUGCUUCAAAGAAAUACUUAUUGGUGUAAAGUAAAACUACUUGCUAUGAACAAUGUAACUGAAUUCUAAAUAGGAAAGUGGGAUACUAAUAUCCUCUAAACUCCUCCUGCAGAACAGGGUCGGUUGAAUAUAGAUGAAAUGCCUCUAGUGCACAAGGGGUUAAACAGCACAACAGUUGGUUGCAAUGGAUAAUAGAAAAGAGGCAGGAAAUACCUGUAAAAUAAAGAUGUAUAGGAGACAGUUGCAAGCUAGGUUAGAUAUAAUGGUCAGUAGAAAUAUAGAGACUAUAGGUAAUCCUGACGCUUGCUAGCAAGAGAGGUGUAAAUACAAAGAGAUACUUUAAUAGUAAAAAGUUAAGCCACUUGCUAUAAACAGUGUCACUGAAUUCAAGAUAGGAGGGUGGGGUAUUCGUAUCCUCUGAACUCCUCCUGCAAAACAGGGUCUACUGUAUAUAGAUGAAGCACCUCUAAUACACAAGAGGUUAAACAGUACACCAAUAUGGUUGCAAUAGUUAAUGAAGAAGAGGCAGAUAAUACCUGUAAAUAGGGAGGUAUAGGAGGCAGUAGCAAGCUAGGAUUAGAUGCAAAAAUAAAUAGAGAUGUAGAAAAUAUAGAUAAUCCUGAUGCUUGUAAGAUAGAAAAUCUAAGUGCCUUCGAGGGCACCCCUUAAUAAAUGCCUAUACUAUAUA
This 1903-nucleotide long non-coding RNA is filed under the name Pelobates cultripes (western spadefoot toad). Lineage: Eukaryota; Metazoa; Chordata; Amphibia; Anura; Pelobatidae. The record is from RNAcentral.